GCACCAUCGCGAAAGAAAACAUCUGUUCUCAAGAAGUUGUUAGGGGCCAAGGCUCACCCAUUGCACUCCGGGUGUGCUGACCCUGCGAUUUCCCCCAAAUGGGGGAAACGCCACUGCAUAGUCUAUGGAGUGGGGGACUGCGUGCACGCUCUCCCCUG
Molecule: small nuclear RNA, 158 nt
Organism: Echinops telfairi (small Madagascar hedgehog)
Lineage: Eukaryota; Metazoa; Chordata; Mammalia; Afrosoricida; Tenrecidae
Product: U1 spliceosomal RNA
Exons: 1
Source: RefSeq, a predicted model, not a curated record